UACGUAGGGGGCAAGCGUUGUCCGGAAUCAUUGGGCGUAAAGAGCGUGUAGGCGGCCAGAUAAGUCCGCUGUGAAAUCUCGAGGCUCAACUUCGAGCUGUCGGUGGAAACUGUCUGGCCAGAGUCCGGAAGAGGAGAAUGGAAUUCCUGGUGUAGCGGUGAAAUGCGCAGAUAUCAGGAAGAACACCCGUGGCGAAGGCGGUUCUCUGGGACGGUACUGACGCUGAGACGCGAAAGCGUGGGGAGCGAACAGG
Molecule: ribosomal RNA, 253 nt
Filed under: uncultured bacterium
Lineage: Bacteria
Description: partial 16S ribosomal RNA
Rfam family: Bacterial small subunit ribosomal RNA
Source: RNAcentral